RNAcentral lists this ribosomal RNA (465 nucleotides) under Vreelandella stevensii. Its description in RNAcentral is "partial 16S ribosomal RNA". It matches the Rfam family "Bacterial small subunit ribosomal RNA", at positions 338 to 795 of the family's 1533-position model. The record is from RNAcentral. Lineage: Bacteria; Pseudomonadati; Pseudomonadota; Gammaproteobacteria; Oceanospirillales; Halomonadaceae.
CCUACGGGGCGCAGCAGUGGGGAAUAUUGGACAAUGGGGGCAACCCUGAUCCAGCCAUGCCGCGUGUGUGAAGAAGGCCCUCGGGUUGUAAAGCACUUUCAGUGAGGAAGAACGCCUGGUGGUUAAUACCCAUCAGGAAAGACAUCACUCACAGAAGAAGCACCGGCUAACUCCGUGCCAGCAGCCGCGGUAAUACGGAGGGUGCGAGCGUUAAUCGGAAUUACUGGGCGUAAAGCGCGCGUAGGUGGCUUGAUAAGCCGGUUGUGAAAGCCCCGGGCUCAACCUGGGAACGGCAUCCGGAACUGUCAAGCUAGAGUGCAGGAGAGGAAGGUAGAAUUCCCGGUGUAGCGGUGAAAUGCGUAGAGAUCGGGAGGAAUACCAGUGGCGAAGGCGGCCUUCUGGACUGACACUGACACUGAGGUGCGAAAGCGUGGGUAGCAAACAGGAUUAGAUACCCCUGUAGUC